CAGUCGCCGCGGGAAUACGUAGGGUGCGAGCGUUAAUCGGAAUUACUGGGCGUAAAGCGUGCGCAGGCGGUUGUGUAAGACAGGUGUGAAAUCCCCGGGCUUAACCUGGGAACUGCGCUUGUGACUGCACAGCUAGAGUAUGGCAGAGGGGGGUGGAAUUCCACGUGUAGCAGUGAAAUGCGUAGGGAUGUGGAGGAAUACCGAUGGCGAAGGCAGCCCCCUGGGCCAAUACUGACGCUCAUGCACGAAAGCGUGGGGAGCAAACAGGAUUAGAUACCCCUGUAGUCCCUGUCUCUUAUAC
This 301-nucleotide ribosomal RNA is filed under the name uncultured bacterium. RNAcentral's name for it is "partial 16S ribosomal RNA". It matches the Rfam family "Bacterial small subunit ribosomal RNA", at positions 509 to 807 of the family's 1533-position model. The record is from RNAcentral.